UGUAGACUGAGCAGAGGGACAUGACUUUUACAAUGAACUGUCCUGAGAUUACCUUUGUUUUUCUUAUAGUGUCAGUUUACUGGGCUGGUACUGAUGGUCAAACACUGACUCAGUCUGAAUCAGUGGUUAAAAGGCCUGGAGACUCCCA
Molecule: long non-coding RNA, 148 nt
Organism: Oreochromis niloticus (Nile tilapia)
Lineage: Eukaryota; Metazoa; Chordata; Actinopteri; Cichliformes; Cichlidae
Exons: 2
Source: RefSeq, a predicted model, not a curated record